CAUGGAACAGUGGAUGAAGAUGCAGAUGAUAUUUGGGAAAUUUGCAUAAAUGUGCAGUUUGUUGGACACGUGUCAGGGACUACAGCUUCAGUUUGGGCGGAUAAAUGGAGACUUUGGAAUACUCAUCACAUAUCACAAUGUACUGCUGAGUGCAUGGACUCUCUGAAAGGAUUUCUGCCAUUUCUUUAUUUCCCUGUAAAAUGAACCUGCAGUUAGAUUCGGGAUACUCGGAUGUGUUGAGAUAUUUCUCGAUCAGAAAAUCGAGACACGCGAUCAAGUGGCGGUUCGUUUUCUCCUUCUGCAUCCAGCACUUCCUUUCCAGCAAUCCCUCCGCCGUUAUAUAUCGCAGCUUAAACUGGCACUUGGUUUCGAUCGUCUUGAUCUCGUCCGGUACGCCUCUGAUGGUGAAGGUGAUGGAGAACCUGUUGCACGUGAUCUUUAACGCCUGAUGUUUGGACCCCACCACGUCUUUGGCUUCUGUAAAACAGGAUCUCAUCUGGUUCUGGCAGGAGUGCACGCUGAAAUAGAUGCUCUUGACGUCCGCGUCCACGACCGCGUCGCCGUCGCAGUAGACGCAGCAAUCGAUGCGAGUUUUACCGUCCUCGGCCGACACGGUGUAAAUCACGCCGCCGACUUUGCCGAUUUUCAGACACUGACAUUCACUUUUGACCUGCAGGGUCAUGGCUUCGUCGAGAGGGUUGUGUCUAAACAUGCGCUCGGAAAUAUCCAGGUUGGAGAGGAGGACGUUGUCCUUGCAUGCCUUCUCCUUCAGCUUCUGUUUCACUGACAGUAUGCCUUGCGUGUCAGGAUGCACAUCAAAGGUUCUAGAAAAGCAGAAACAUCAUGGCAUCGUUUGGGAACGGUGUAAAUGAGAGAGGUUUUACACCGUCCCGAUACAGGCCGGAAAACUUUAAAACAACAGGUAUGACGCACAACGAAAACAUGCCAUGAGGAAAUAACCCUUACUCUGGUGCUCCAGACAUCGUGUAGAGGAGCGACAGAGCUCUUCGAGUUCCUUCACACAAAGCUGUAGAAAAUAAAAAGCACAGAAACACUGAUCAGUGCAGCACUCAGGGUCCAUCGACUAAACCCUGUCGUGGUUCCGUGAAUAGACGUGUUCGUGUCCCUCAGCGUAAGGGCCGGAUAUCCUCUCUUUCGGUUUCAUUUCCUGCACAGCAGAACCGCCCGGACGUUCUUAAAGGUACACGAUCACAAUAAUACCCAGACUUUCUGUUCUGCUCUCGUCUGCUCGGUCCUCUCCGUCUUUCCUCCGUUCUGCUCGUCUCUCUGUUCUGUACUUUAUGGUUCUCUGUUCUGGUCUGUCCUGAACAUUCCCUGCGUCUCUGCUCUGCUCUGCUCUGCUCUGCUCUGCUCUGUACUGUUCUGUACUGUACUGUUCUGCGUUCUUCUGCGCUUCUCUUUUAUUCUCUGUUCCUGUUCUGCCUUUCUUCUCUUCUCUGUACUGUUUUCUUUUUCUGCUGGAAGAAAAGACACUUUGUGUUAAGUGAUUGAUUUAUUUUGCUCGUACAAAAGAAAACAUCAUCGAGUCUCAGGGUAAAAACCGUUUCGUCAGCACUGAACAUGGAAAUGUCUUUACAAGUCUUCUGAUGGGUUUGUUGUUGUUGUUGUUGUUGUUGUUUUUUUGUUUUUUACAGAAUGUCUACUGCUUCUCAUAAACAAGAGUUUAUAAAGUUACAGGUGAUUGUACAAAUAGAAUUGUUAUGCAAUGCAUGUAGAAAGAUGAAAGUAAUUUUAUAUGAAGUACUGCAUCUGCGUCAUAUAAUAACAUCUAGUAGCAUAAGGUCGGUAUCCUGGCUCUUCUCUAGCCCCGCCCAUCUUUCACGCCCUCUGCUCGGCGGGACAUGUCUCCGUUCUCCAAGGCUCCGUUCCCAGUGCGCUUCAGUGGUGUUCUGGUGAGACUCGGUGGCGUAGCGCACUCAUCUCCUCGAUCAGUUGCGUGUCGGAGGAGGAAGUUUCCCAAAAGCGUCGUAAAGGUAAGAUCGUCUCAACUAGGAGAGAGAGAGUGUUCGGCGUGACGCUCGCUCUACCGUUUGACCGUGACCUUUGCACUGCGACGCUUUUGUGAAACGCUGGAUCUGGAGUCUGUUUGGGGUCGCAGAAUCUACCUGUGUCCGUGUUUGUGUUUCCUCGCCACAACUGCCGGUUAUUGAAUAUCUAUCUAUCUAUCCAUCUAUCCAUCCGUCCACCCGAGUAUCCUCCUGGCCCCUCGACCUUCACUCGUACUCCCACAGCUCCAUGUCCUGAACCCUGUGGCUGUGAGCUCGAUUCUGUCCGUCGGUGAAGACGAAGUGCUGCGUGCUGUGGUAUCCGUCGCGUCCGCAGACGAGCUCCACCAGCUCUCCGUCACUCUGGAUGAGGACGCGGAUGUUUUCCUCCUGAAACUGACUGUAGUUGAUCAGCAGGUGCUGGAAACAAGCCAGCAGGCCUUCCUUCAUCUCGCCGCUUCUCUCCAGACGUGUUUUGGUCUCCAGGAGCUUCUCCAGGUUCAGCGUUUUGCCGAAGCACACUCGUCGGCGAGGGCAGACGAAAAGGCUGCGCUGAGGCUGCUGGGUAGUGUAAGUAAUCUGAAGCUCACCGCACACGAUCCUCAGCUCCAGCUGGCUCUGAGACGACGGAUCCGACUCGAUUUCCGCGCGUAAAACGCGCCUCGCUCGAUCCACGCAGCUCUCCAGCUCGUCUCUGCAGCGAUGCCCGGCGAAGUGAGACUCGCUCAGGCACGAGGGGACGAGACGAGACCCGACCGGGACUUUCUGAUGAAGCUCUGGACCGUUCUGACCCACACGGACCACGUACAGCAGGACGGGGUUUCCUGCAGUGAACCGAACCAGCUGCCUCUCUCCUUCAAAGGUGAGAGAGACGUCACGGCGUUUCGAGGCAGGGAAUUUCUCCAGCGUCUGGAUCGCAAAAUCCAAGCAGGUCUUCAUGUUGGAAUCCAGAAAGCCUUCUUGGCGCAGUUUCACCUUCGCUGAGAGGAACGUGUCCAAAUCCAAACACGGCACGGUGAAGUUUUUUCUAAAAAAAAAGAGAGAGAGAGAACAGCGACAUAACUGUGUCGUAUAAACCGGUGAGAAUCCGCUCGUCUCCUGCUGCUGAUGCCUUGGAGCUGUGAUGAAGGUUAAUGAUAUUUAACGUAAACACAUUCAUCCACCACGUGGUCCUCGCUUUCUGUCUCCUAAACACACCUUUUAUUUUUCAGAAACAAUAACAAGGACGCUUUCUUUUCACCCAGCCGCCAUGACCUACGAGCUGAACACACCCCGGGAGCGCAAAAUCACGUAAAAGUGAAGUCCUUUUAGUGAAAAAUGUCAGAAUCGCAUCCAUCACGACGGCUGAGACGGCUAACCGUCGUCCAGACGCUGUUUUCAAAUACUUAUUUUUUUUUUAAACGAGUUAAAAGCAGUAUACUGUACUUCAUUUUCAAACACUAGCCAGACUUUCCUGUAACACAACAGUUCUCAAAAGUCUUGCAUCUUCGGAAAUUUCCAUGUGAAUACAUAAAAAGUCACAUUCAAAUGUCAGGCGAACAUGUGUACGUAUCUCUUUCAUCGAACCGUUAGCAUCAGCAUGCUCACGCUUUCCAGCUUUAUUAAACGAGUGACGUCUGGAUCAAACCCUUUUGAAUUCGGUUCCUUCAGACUGUAAUCAACACGCAGUUAAACAGCUCUCGCAUCAUUUUCUGACAGCUUCAGGCUCUGUUAGGAUCAGCGUUAGUUCUACUGAGAGGAAGGAAAUACAAGGAAAUGGGCUCUUACAUCUCACUCAUGAUGGAGAUCGACGACGUUUUGCCGAGCAGCGAUGCACUCCUGAGCCCCAGAUCUUUACUCCCCGAUGAAGACACGGACGUCGCCAUGACACGGAGGUGACGCUCCUGAUCGGAGGAUAUGAGGAGAAGACACGGCGUGAGCACAUCGCUGUCUGGUGCAGACUCGACAGCUCUGUUUAAAUCAAUAAAUAGGAUAGAAUUCAUCUAAUAACGUAGUGAAGGUCACCCGAACGGCUCACCUGUGUGCCGUGGCGUCUCCUCCUUUCUCUCGUCGGUGUGUGAAUCAGCGGCGUUUUAAAAACACACACACACACACACACACGUGUGAGUUUGUUUCUCAGAAUCCCCGAGUCAUCAUGCAGGUGUGUGUUUAUAAUCAUCACUUUACCGUCAACGGUCCACACACACCAACACACCAACACACCUACUUUUACACAGUUGGGCAGAUUUGAGACGUCGCUGAGAGGAAUACGAGAUAUUUAAACACCUCACAAAAUCAGCAAACUAAGCACAAGGGUUGUUCCCUAAAGCAGGGGUUCCCAAACUUUCCCAGGGCGAGGCCCCCCAAAUGGCAUUACCAUUUGACCGAGGCCGCCCUUUUGCAAGGUGUCUUUAAAAACACAUUAAAAAUACAGACUUCUGAAUAUAUCCCCCUUUUUUUUAUUAAAGAUUACAUCUUACAUCUUUACAUUACAUUACUUUAGGAAUUGUGUGUGUGUGUGUGUGUGUGUGUGUGUGCGUGCGUGUGGUUGUCUCAGAGUGAGAAAGAGAAAACAUACUUUUAUUUAUUUUUCACACCAAAUGAUUGCGGCCCCCCCGAGCGCCCCCUGGCGGCCCCGACUUUGAAAACCACUGCCCUAAAGCAUAGAACUCUGUGUAUAUUGCAUCAGGCAAUAUAUUAUAUAUGAUUAUUAUUUGUAUGUAUGUGCAACGCUAGUACAUGAGUGAUAUGAAAUACAGUUUGUAAUGUUUUUACACCAUUGUCGCAGAAUUUUAUUUUCCCUUUGGGAAGUCGCACAAGAAGUCAUGUUCUAGAUCUGUAACACGGACGGCGCGGAAGCCCGCCCCUUCGCCUGACGCGGUUGUCGGUAGCCCCGCCCCUUGUCGCGUGUAGCUCUUCCGGGAGGCGGGGCCAAACGCUGUGGCCAGAAAACGAAUCUCACCAGGAGAAGACUGGUCAGGGUUGAGUUUUCUGCUCAUCUCACGCCUUCAGCUCGUUCUGACAAGAAGGAACAAACAGGACUCGUCCUCAUGGCCUUUGUAAAGGAGUUCUUUUUCCCCUCCCUGGAAACUAAAUAUCUCCUAGAGACGAAAGUGGAACUGAGCCAGCUGGGUGUUCUUGAACCUGAACUCAAACGCAAUCUGCUGUUUGCUAUUUCAGCGAUGGACACGUUGCCGCUCAUGCUGAAGAAAAGCGCAGGACUUCUGGUCGAAGGCAGUCAGAUUCUGAUCAGCAUCACAGCGGGUAACCCCAGUCUGCAUUGCGUCGUGUUUCAGGACCACGAAGGCAUCAGACUUCACCAGACAAUAAAACCGAACAGAGAGUUGCGUCUCGACGACUUCCAUAAGGCUUUUUUCCACGGCCACGACUGUCCUCAUGAUACACCAUGUUGGGAACAGGCUAUGAAUAUCAGAUCCGUCAGCAGUAGACAAUUAGAACUAAAUAUUGUCUGCAAAGAGCUGAGAGUAACCUUCUCCGACCCUGCUCCCGUAGAGGCCAUUGUGGUGCCGACAUCUAAGAAUAUUGCACAAAUCUGAUUUAGAAAAAUAUAUAUAUAUAGAUAUAUAUUAAUAUAUAUUAAUUUCCUCUUUCCUGUUCAAACCUGUGACGCCAUCUGCUGGAAUCUGCCUCUGAAAGAUGAGUGCGCACUUUGAGUGUUGUAGGACGUUUGUUUGUUUAUAUUAUCCGAAGGUCCCUGUUUCUCCCUGCACAGCGGUCUUCCCUUAUUUCUACUGCUUGUCUUCUACAGAAACAUUACACACGACCAUUAAGCCUAAUGUUUUCAAUGUUUUAUUGCCAGUUUUCUAACCGUUUAUAAUCAAAGCCCACUUGUAGUGGAAAUAUGUCUGUUCAGUAGAAUGAGUAUAAUACUAAUACUGUUACUCUGCUAAAAUAAAGAUUCUCAUUAUGUAAUCAGUCUUGAGCUCAGGAUCAGUCCAGGGGUCCUGGAACACAGACUUUCCACUGCACCUUUUUCAUCUGUACACUGAAUUAGGAAUUGAGGAACAGUUCACCUCAGCAAUAACAAGUUCAACAUGGAAAGGAAGUCAACGAGCCCGAUUUGUCCGCUACAGCCAUUGACAUCGGACGGAAGUGGCUGCUUGUGUUCUAAUCCCGCAGGUGACCGGACAUGAUUGUAAAUAUAGUACGCGUGUGUGGAGACGUCUGAGCGAUGGGCUCACACGACACAGCUGGGAGAGUGCUGAUUACUGAGAGUGUGCACCUUGCUCAGUGGUGAGUUCAUCUGUGCUUUGUUUUCAAGAGCAAAUACACGGCGUCAGUGUGAGUGAGCCAGGUUAACAGUGAGUGAUCUGCCUUGGCCAAUGAAAGCUUGCGGUUAUUGCUUCACCUGAGCUGCAAUCAGGUGACAGUACAGCUGUGCAGAGCUGAUGCUCAUACUUUAACAUUUCUGACAGGCAUUCUGAGUGAUUUUUCAACACUUCAGAUGGUGAGGUUAACACACACACUCUCACUCACAUACAUAUUACACUGAUGUACAUCACUGUUUGUUUGUGUAAAGGUGCUGUGUCGCCUCCUGCUGGUCUGGUUAGAGUAUUACACAAUGUAUCUAGCUUUGUACUUUAAUAUACUUUUUAAUCUUGUGUUAAUUCUCAUAGAUUUCCAUAUAAUUCAUUAAGGAUGAUCAAUUAAUCACUAUUUUGAACAUGUAUUAUCUGAUUAAGUGAUACACAAAGAUGUACUACUAUUAUUAUUAUUAUUAACAGGAUCUGUCUUUGAUUAUUGCAGUUUGCUGCUUUAUUGUGAUUAAUUGUGAUUAUUAACUCAGUUAAUCCCUGCAGCACUGGAAUGUAUUUUAGGAAAACACGGAUUGUAUCAGAAGAAAGGUUCCGUUAGGUUCUCUACUACAUCCAGUUCUCAGCUGUGAGGUUCUGGAGCUUCAGGGCUGUAGGUGAAUACGCAAUAAAAAUGACUGAACUGAGAGAACAAAUUCAGAUCUAAAUAAUGAUAAGAAGGAACCACAUGACCACACGGCCUCCACAAUUCUCCAUAUUUUUCAAAAGAUUUUAUAUUCGAAUAUCGUUUUAUUUGUUUUUCCCUCUGUGUCUUCGUGAUUUCAUUUACGGAAUAAUGAUCUCCGUGUGCUAUUUAAAUUACUAAGUAGUGAGAAUAAAAUCACAGGAUAACAAGGAACAAAUAAUUAGGCCUGGCCUCCAAUCAGGGUCUACCUCAUUAGCAUAAAACCAAAGACAUCUGGGACCAGGGAAGCUACCAUGGACUCCUUAAGCAGGAGUCUUUUUAAAGAGACCUGUCUGAGAGAAUGAGGAGAAUGAGGAAGGCGGGGGAGGGUGAGUGACCAGUGUGGGUGAGAGGUUUUUAUACACAGUGUGUACACACCGCCGUCUUCAUACUGCUACAGCGCCACUUUUUAUUCUUAAACCUGCCAAAACACAGAUUAGAACCAGAAGGUUCAGUAACCACAACACUGACACUCACGCUCAUCUAACAUUCCUCGUAUCAGUGUCAGGUCCAGGUUUCUUCUCAUUAGCAUUAUGCACCUGUUCCUUCUGUGGUGUGGUGAUUUAUGAUGACAAAAGCCCACCACACGGGUGUAGUUUCUGUCUCUUGGUGGUGUAGUGGUUACAGUUCAUGCCAAUGAUGGUGUUCCAGAAGGUGUGGGUUCUCUUCCACCUUUUGGCUGGUUUAAGACAAAAAAAAAAAUCCUGCAGCCUCAUGACGUGAUUUGUGAUGACAAAAGUCCAACACACGUGUGUAGCUUCUGUUGCUUGGUGGUGUAGUGGUUAGAGUUCAUGUUUGUGGUGUGUUUUUUCAGGUUCUAAGGCACCUUUUGGCAGGUUCAAGAAUCAAAAGUGGUGCUAUGAAGGUGUGACGGAGGGAGUGGUGUGUAGGCCUCUGUGGCUCAGUUGGCUAAGUCAUCAUGGCUGUGGAGCAGGAGGUGCUUGGAUCAAACCCCAAAUGGAGUACUUGGCUGGAGUUUGGAGGUGGAGCCUGGACUCAAACGCUGUUCCGCUUCCUGAACCAGGUACAGACUUUACCCGCUGACCCAGCAGUCCACACAGAACACCUGCCUUCCUCACAAGGUUUAUGUUUCACUUUAUACCACCUACUGUCGCAGUUAAUAUAAGGAGACAUCACAAACUAAAUCUGACAGAAGCCUUGAACUGUGUUCCCCUCUCUCUCUCUCACACACACACACACUCACUCAGCACUUACCAGGUGAGCUACUGGAGCUGACAUGUAACCAGCACUUACCAAAACACUUAUCCUCCUCGUUACAGCUCACGCUCACUACGACUCAACCACCUGUAAAGAAACUCCAAACACAGACCAGACGAGUUUGUGGCUCAGGAGUAAAACGCUUGUCUCUGAUCAGUACGUACUGAAUGUCAAGCGUCAGAGCCUCACCGUGGAAAACUCUCCUGUGUGUGGAGGUUGUUUUCAGUAAGUUAAACUAGCAAAAAAAUCGUAAUUAUAACUGGAAGGAAAACACACGCAGUCACGUCCUAAUUUAAAUAUAUUAUUUUAAAAGGAAUAAUAUACAGCUUUAUUUCAACCAUGAAACGAUAUUCAUUACCAAACACUGAUUUCCGGGUUGAAGUGAACCUUGCUGAAAGUUUCACCUCAACUCUGAACCUCCGGGAAGGCGUCCAGGUUUUGGUCUAAAAUAUUCAGAGCCACAAAAACAGCCCCAAACCGUGAUUCAGUAAGAGUUUAGGUCCAAUUCCUGAGAAAUUUCCAUCAGUUCCAGAUUUCUUGAAAUGUUUUGUUUCUUCUUAGGUUCCUUGCUGAAGUGAAAAGUAUUUUUAACUGCUAAUGUCAUUUGUAUCGACAACAAUCUGACUGUAUUCACAGUUUGUUCAACUUUUAAAAAUUGUUUUGUUUUUUGUUUGUGUGCAUGCACGUAUGUGUGUGUGUGUGUGUGUGUGUGUGUGUGCGCGCGCUUGGUUCUUAUCCACAAAAAAACACUAGUUAUCCCAAUCUGGAAAAAGUGACAGCUCCUCCAAGGACAAAUAGUUUUGUGUGUGUGGAUGUGUUUGGGCUGUUCAUGUGCAUACGCCCACCCCCACCACCCACCCACACACACACACACACACACACACACACACACACACACACCUUGAUAAAUUGCCAGAGAUAUGAAGCAAUCAACCAAAUUGGACCUCGCGUGAGUAUUUUCCCCCACAGAUGUGGUGUGUGUGUGUGUGUAUAUACACACUCUCUCUCUCUCUCUUUCUUUCUAGCUUAUGAAACAGAUUGUGAUCCUUAAGUCGUUUCCCCCAAACUGCUUCCAAACUGCUGCUUGCACUUAAAUAAAUGAAAACUCGUGUUUUCUUGAUACGUGAAGAAUAAAUCAUGGCCAUACCAGGUAGCGUUCCUAUCUCAGCAUAUCCCCAAGUGUUUCACUCCUCUUACAUCGCAGCAAAUUACCAACGAUUACCAUUAAAAAAAUUUAAAAGGACGACACACGAUAUAUAUGUUUAUAGUUACAUUUAAUGUUGUGGAGCGUCCGUUUAAGUUACAGCAGCUAUAAACAGUCCUUCCCUCUGCAGCUUCUCUUUUCCCCUCUCUCUCUCUCUCUCGAAGAUAAUAAAUUGUAAAUAAAUCGCUGCUUGUCAUGGUAAAGAGAAAUCGCAAAGUGUAAAAACCUGAAAAGCACAAGAUUGGAAUUUUACAAAGCUUUACAUUUCAUAUCACCGAUAUAUAUUAUUCGGUAAUAAACAAUUUUUUUUGUUUUUUUGGGGGGAAUUUAAAAAAAACUAAUCACGCAUCUAUAUUCAAAUAUUUUCAGCGUUCGAAAAUUUAGAUUCGGUUUUAGAUAUCACGCACAAAAACAACAACAAUUCAUGGAAUUCAGUUUGCAAUUUUUUACUAGUUUAGCAUCCAGGUAAUUGAGUCUGGGGUGAUACCUAGCCGAUCGGUGCACAGUAUUUCAGUCACGUGAGUGCAGGAAAAACCUGCAGGAGAGGAGGAGGAGGAGGAGGAGAAGAGGCGCUGCUGUGUAAAAUGGCGACAAGAGAAUGUAGCGCUCUAUGGUAGGUCAGUGUAUUUAUAUAGAUAUUGGGGAAUAAUGAAGAUUUGGAGCGUUAUUAUGUUGAACAAUGCAGUUAGUUUACAGUGUUGUUAAACCAGACCGUUAGUUAUAAAGGAAGAGCAUGAAUGAUCAUCAGUGUUUCUAAAGGUAGACCUUCUGUUAGGAAGCGUGUGAAGAUCCUGACCGCCAUUUUACCUGUUAAUUAGAGACUCAUCGGCUCAUUAAGAGUGAGUGAGCAAUCCGGCAAAGUCCUGCUGCUGUUUCUGGCUUCCACGCUCCAGGAAUAUCUUAUAGCCCAGUAGACAUAUAAAUUCACAUUAUUAUUAUUAUUAUUAUUAUUAUUGUUUGUCAUUACAUCCACUUAUAAUUGAAUUCUUUCUCGUUGUCAGGUUGGAACACCGGUUGGAUUUGUCCACCCUUCCUGGAGACCUGGAUAGUAACAGGCUCAUGGCUCUGUUCUGAAGAUUCACUGAAGCUCUGGUGCCACCUGCUGGAGGAAGUCUGGUUAUUAGGCUAUGCAAUUGAUAAAAUCUUGUAAGAACUGUUCAAUGUAUUUCUCUCAAUUUGGACUUUUCAGAAGACGUUGUUAGACAAGUGGAAACCGGCCAUCUUAAUUAGCGUGCACGGAGGGGUGCAGACGAAACCAAGCAAAAUAAAGUGCUGACGGGUGAUUGAUUAAUAUUCAUUGUCGCCUGUUGAUGUAAUUCUGGCACCUUGCCGUUUCAACCGUUUUUUGUUUGUUUCAUUCACGGGAUCUCUUUAUGAAAUGACUAACCUUAUCGCGUUUUGGGCGAGGCGGGAGAUUCCGAGUUUCUGUUGGAGGUGGUGAAGAUCUCUCAGACACAGCACGUUAUUACCUGUAUCUUUAAUUAAAAAAUAAAUAAAUAAAUAAAUGAAUAAAUAAAAAGAAACCAAUAAUUUAGUGCAAAAUCAGAGGCUUGUACACGAGUUAAUUUCUUUUAGGUAGUAUAAUGAUCAGCUUUGAUCUGUUUAUACACGAUUUACUUGGAUUUUGGGAUGCAGAACCCACCAAGUCCUUUAGAAAAUAUUCCAGUAGAAGCGGGCUGGAUUGCUCAGGAGUGCGAGUUCAGCGCUCUGCCUUACAACAGUUUAUUCAACUUGGAUGUUUGUUUCUUUAACGUGAAUCACUUCAAUAAAACUACUUUGAAUUUCAAGAAGUUUAAUAAAAACAAAAAUAGUUAUGAAUAUAGAAAGUAAACGUACAGUACUUCAAUGCUGUGAAUUCAAAAGUCCGUUACUGAGAAUUCGACGGCUUUUAAAAUUCCAUACCGUGUCCUGAAGACUCCGGACACUGGAGACUCCUUCCUCCGUGAUUUGUGUUUUCCUUCGCUAAAUAACCUUUUUAUUAAAUAAAAUCCGUUUAUUGUCAGGUUUAGAUUAUGGAAGCAGCCCGGCACCAAAACCUGCCACAGCGACUUUAAUCGUAAACACGGAGAGAGACAUGGCGAUAUUCCCACAUGACACACAAACACGUCAGCGUUCAUGAUUUACACUUAAAUCGAGUGAAUAACAGCAACCGUGAAACACGACAAUUUACAUUAAUACACUGACAAAUAUAAUGAACAUACACACACACACACACAAUAAAAUACAUAAUGUUAGCCUAAAAUUCACAUUUAGCCAACCUUUCAUUUUUAAAAAGUCUAUGUAGUUUUUAUAUAUAUAUAUAUAUAUAUAUAUAUAUCUCUAUAUAUUAGACACUUAAAUCUGAUCACACACAGAUAACAGACAUUAGACACACUGCUGUAACUGGACAGCUCGUACAGACAUGUUUACUUUGGUUCAAAAAGGAGACGGGAAAAAAAAAAAGAUUUUGAUUGACAUUAAUUAUGAAAAUUAUAUAGCACAAGCUGCUGGUAAUUUGUCGACUGUAUCUAUAGUUGUGCGUCUAAAGCGGAGUGUUGCUUAAACACCUAUAUACAUUAAAAUCAUUCACCGGUUUGGGGCUGAUGGAACCCGAAGAUGAUGAAUUUAAAGAAAAAGGAAAAAUUCCCGUCUAACAGAUUAACACCUUAAUAUCAAAAUACUGAAAUGUGUUGUAAGGGAAGAGCUCCUCUUCCUAGAAUCCAUACAUAUGGAAAAAUCUAUAAAAGUGACGAAAGAAAGAAAAAAAAGUUCGGGAAAGUUAAACAGUGUGGUGAAGUAUUUAAAACUUUAAAAAGGAAACUAUUUCAACUGAAAGUAAAACUCAGGAUGUCAUUCACACGUCUCAGCGAGUUAUAGACUACAGUUAGGGGGUGGAGUUAGUGUUAGAGGCGGGGUUAUUGUUAGGAUUAGAGUCAGGGUUUGAGCUGGAGGGUCAUCAGUACAAGUACUGACGCACUCGUGUAUUUCAAGUGGAGGUCAGACGGCGGUAGAAGCGUGACGACACAAUUGUUAUUUAAGGCACAAACUAUUGUCCAACAGUCUUUCCAUAUUAUUAAUGUUGCCAUGGAAUACACGCGACGCUGAAAGGGAAAAUUACAGCUUAUAUUAUAAAUCCUGUUCUACUUUUCUUAGAUCGUAGCGAUUCGAUUCGUUGUUACAAAAUAUACGUAUUAAUAUUUUAUCGUAUUUGCGCGGACAUGGUCUCGUGAAGCCUACCGUGGCUUUAGUGUAUCGUCUUACGCCUGGUUACUGUAGAGGCAGAGUUAGAGGUUGAGGUAGGUUUAGAGGCGGGGUUAGAAGCAUAUUUAGCAUCAGCGUCAAUCUCAUGAAAAAAAUCUCACCACAUCACACUUGUUCACUUGAAUUUCUACAAAUAGUUUAGGUUUUUAAAAAUUACUUUAAAAUUCAAAAUAAUUCCAUGUACGAGGGGAUGAAACGGUUCUUGAAUGGAUUUGAGGUUUUUCCGCGCUGUGACAGCUGCGUUCACGUUACAUCCUAACGACGGACGUGUGGGAGGGGCUUAAUGAUGGCUCCUCCCACCAUCAGCUGGUUCAAGACGUCUGUGAGACAAGAGAGCAAACGUGUGAGUGCAGCACCAAGAACUGUUUUUAUUUAUUUUUUUUACUGUAUUUAUUUAUGAUGUAUCAGAUCCGUUCGCGUUUAUACUACCGGAUACACCGUUUUCAAAAUCGGAACUCACCCGAGGGGAGCAGCAGUAUAGUCAGAGUCUCCGGCAUGGCGGCUGAUGGACGAGUCUCUGACACCGUGACCUUUGACCUCUUGACCUGAGGCGAGUCCGUCAUCACC
Molecule: long non-coding RNA, 13212 nt
Organism: Ictalurus punctatus (channel catfish)
Lineage: Eukaryota; Metazoa; Chordata; Actinopteri; Siluriformes; Ictaluridae
Source: Ensembl